RNAcentral lists this long non-coding RNA (24689 nucleotides) under Lathyrus oleraceus (garden pea). RNAcentral's name for it is "Pisum sativum (pea) long non-coding RNA (PSAT_LNC033701)". The record is from RNAcentral. Lineage: Eukaryota; Viridiplantae; Streptophyta; Magnoliopsida; Fabales; Fabaceae.
UUCUUUUGGGUGAGUUGUGGUGGUGAUGAAUGACGAUGAGCGGUGAUGGAGAGGAGCUGCUAGGGUUUCUUCAAGUUGUGGUGAGAGAAAUACUGAACGAUAGUGAAUGAGAGAGAAGAGGUUAGGGAGUAGUAACCAAGUACAAAAUCCAACUAUGUUUAAGCAUCUGUGUGAUUUGGGCGGGUCAGGGUACCUGCGGUUCAGUCUUUACCACCCGGACCCGCCCAUUUAAAUCCGACUGAACCCGGUUUCAUCACCCGGUGAACCCGUUGGACCGUCUAAACCCGCCCAAUUCCUUUUUUUUCUUUCGGUUUUUGCGGGUUGGGUCGGGUUGCGGGUGUUUGUCCAGCCCUAGGUGAGGUACCUUAUGUGUUAAAUAAAUUAAAUAAAUGUAAUUUGUUGCUUCGUGUUCAAUUUUUAAUUCUAGUAUUUAUUCAUAUUUAUGCAUUAAUAUGAAUAAAUAUUUUUUUUAAAUUCAAUUUUUUUUAUAACAACAAUAUGGGGGAGUAUAUUUAAACAAAGAUGUCUAAUACUUAAUAUUGGAUAUUUUUGUUCACAAAGUAUAAAUACACCCUAUUAAUAAUUCAUAUUAAAUAUUUGGCUUAAAUAAUUUUUUGUUUUUCGAUAAAUUUGCGUGUUUUUAUUUUUUUAGAUAAAAACUUUAAAUAUUGAAUUUUAUUAAUUUUAAUUUUAAAUUAAAAUUUAUAUAUUUUCUGCAGAUUUUUCUCUUAUGGAUUUAAAUUUUAGGAACUAAAAAUAAAAAGAUUUUAACAUUUAAAAAUUAUUUCACAGAAAAAAAAUACAGUGGCAAAAAUAAAAAAUACUUGUAUCAAAAUACUAUUUAAAUUUAAAUAUUUUGUUCACGUGAUUUGAAAAUAAAACACACCAAAUCUAGUGUUGUUUUGCUUUUAAUGAGAUAAAGAAAGAAAAAACGAAGGAUAAAACAAAAAAUGGAUUGAAAAGACAUUGGAAUAUUGUAUGAGUGUCACAUUUUAUAUCCAAAAAAAUGUUUUGGUUUUAUUAUUACUCAUUUUCUUCUCUAAUUUGAGCUUCUUUAUUGUCUUAAUAAUGGAUAUUCUCGUCGGCUGAUAUUGCAACUUUUUAUAAAAUCUAACUCUGUCCACAACUUACUUCCGUCACUUUUCUCAACCUUUCUCCUACGUGUUUGUGUCUUACCAUCAUAUUGCUAAUAAUGUAACCACAAAAUAAUUUAUAUUUUAGAUAGUGAGAAUAGGGGCAGUGCAAAAAUAUAAUUAAUUAUAUUAUAUUAAUACAUUAAACUCUAUUGUACCACAAUAAAUUUAGAUUACUUAAAUAAUUAAUGAGUUUAAUUAGUUAAACUGAAUUCAUAAAAGUGGUUUAAAUUUUUUAGUUAAUAGAAUAUAGAAGUUAAUUAGUAACUUGUUAGAGUUGGUUAUACAUGUUGGAUAUAAUGGUAACUUUGAUUUAUUUCAUUACCACAAUGGGUUUAUAUAUAAUAAAACAACUAUUAUAGAAAUUACUUGCAUUUCAAGUAAUGUGAAACUUAUUCAAAAUUGUCAAACAACAAAGUUAUACAACAAAUUCUCCUAUACUUUCAUAUCUAUUACAAGAAAUCAAGUAAAAGUGGAUAUUUGAUGGUUUUGUGAGGAUAUCAGCUGCUAAUUGAAUUUGAGAGUUGCAAUGCUUUAGUUCAAUGACUUCUUAUAAGCCCUCCUUUAAUUUAAUAAAGGACUCAAACUUUAAUAAUUUUGUGAGGAUAUCAUUCAAUUGAUUUUAGAGACUUGUAGUGUUUUAAUUCAAUCACUCCUUCCUUAGCAAGGUCAAUUAGAAAGUGGAAAUUUAUAUCUUUGUUUCUUCCAUGCAUAAUUGAAUUUUUUUCAUAGCUUGAUUAAGGAAUUAUUAUCAUAGAAGAUGAUUAAUCUUUUCCCUUGAGUUAUCUUCAAGUGUGUCGAUAGAUUUCUUAGUCAAACUCCAUGACACGUGGAUCUAUGUGCAUUUAAGUUCUGUUAAGGUGAUUCGAAAUGGUGAAGUUUGUUGAUAUCAAAGUAGCAAUCAACUAUUUUGUUUUGUCGGUGAUGAUAACAUCUAAUAUCCAUCAAUAUCUAGUGAAGUUCUUAUCUCUUAAAGAUAGCUUACACGGUCGAAUAUGCUCUAAGUAUCAAGAUAUUUAACCAAGUUAUCCUUUUGAAUAUGCUCUUGGUCAAUUGCCUAGAAGAUCAAGUCAUCUUUUUGAAGUCAACAUUGUCAUUCAACGAUGUUGAAGUGAAGACUUAUAUUUCAUGGUUCUUUAAUGGUCUGGUCUCUUAACUCUUUGAUGAUGGUAAACAACUUGAAGACAUCUCAAGCUUCAUCAAGCUAAAGAUUCAAAGUUCUUGUGUGAUGCUAAAGUAAAACAUAAUGAUUCUAAGGUGUAAAGCUUCAGAGUUGUAAAAGAGAAGAAGUGUGAAAGUCCGCAUGGUCGUGUGUGACAGAGUCUUGUAAAUGCACAAGGGUAUUUCUCGAAUUACUAAGAAAAAAUAACACACACACUUAAAACCUUUGAUGAGUCUAUAUUAAUUUUUUUAAAACACCUAAUUUUUUUUAAUGUCUAGCUAAUUGUUGCGAAAAUGUAUGAUCAAUUAUAAGCUUGUUAACAAGUGAAUAAUUGAUUAGCCAUGGUGCUAUAAUCAAUUAUUACAAUUUCUAACACUGAUAACCGAUUAGAACAAGUCUCUUAAUGGUUGAAAAUAAUUAAAAAUCAAAAUAUUAUAUUUUAGGAUGUAAUAAUUGAUUAGCAUAAUCGAUUAUGGCACAUAAAUAGCUCAUGGAUUAUUUCUAAAUUUAUAUCACGCUUUGGCCUAUAAAUAUAGAGGUCGUCUACCAUUUCAAAACAACUUAUAAAAUGAUUUAUCCUACUAUAUCACUCUCUCAUCUUUUACCAUAAAUAUAUCUUUCUCUCACUUGAAUUUUUCUUAGUGAUUUGAGAGUGUUCUAGUGUUUAGUGAGGAUCUUUGUUCUUAGUGAAGGGAAUAUUUGUAAUUUACCCAAGAGUAUAUUAUCUCCUAAGUAAAGUAUCUUUUAUAAGAAUUUUUUUAUUGCAAGCUAAACCAUUAAAAGCUCUGGUUUGAUUCGUGAGUUCUACCUGCGACAGAAGCUCUCAUUUAAUUCAUGAAGAUCAGCUAUUAAAAUCUCCAUACAAUUUCUAGAUAUCAGCCUAGUGUAAAAUCUCUUUCGGUUCAAGAUCAACUCGUGUAAAAUAUCAUCUUGGUUUGAUAUCAAGUAGUGUAAAAUAUCAUCUUGGUUUGAGAUCGGCCCGUGUAAAAUCUCAUUUUGGUGUGAAGGUCGGCAUGUGUAAAACUCCGGUUUGGUUUGGAGGAUAUACACUAUAAAAAUCUAUCUCGGUUUGAAAGAUAACCAAUAUAAAACUCCAUUUUGGUUCGGAGGUCAAGUUGUAUAAAAUAUGUGUUUGAUACGGAGGAUAGCUAGUCAAAAAUCUAUUUUUUGUUUGGUUAGAAGUUAGCCAUUGAAAAACUUCAAAUCCUUGUAAAAGGAGUUUUGUGGGCAUAUCUUAUUGAAAGCUCUCAAGAUAGUUGAAACUCUGAAAUGGAGAAUUCAAGGCUACGUAGUGAUCGCGGCUUUAUGAGUCUAUCGGAUUAUCUAACUGCAAUUAUACAGUUUAUCACAUAGUUUUAAAAGAUAUUGAUCCCAUGAAGACUAAAUUGUCAAUCUAUCGUUUCUAGUUGCUACGAUGUUUAUCUAAGGCGAAUGAAUUAAGCAAAGGAGAGAUGAAAUAAAUAACUUAAAUAAAUUCAGACAAAUAAUACUGGAAUGUGACUCUCAUCAAUCAAUAGUACUCUUGAUUGUUGCUAAAUAGUAUUACUGUAUGGGGUAAUAGUUUCUACUUUGAAAAGAAUGUAAUUGAACAGGGACUGUCGCUUUCGCGUAUUUUAUACCGUCCACUGUCACGUGUGACUUGCGCUUAUUGUGUUAAAGUAGUAAAUCCUAUUUUAAAAAAUUAGACUCUUUACUUAGUUGAAAAGUAAUUUUGAUUGAAAAUUUUACCUUAAAAGGGUUCCAGGCUUUCGCUCAGGUAACCGAAUUCUAAACCUAUAAACGCGUCCGCAAAUAGUUUUAAAACCACUUUCUAGAAAUAUUAGACUUUCCUAAUUAAUUAAUAAAGUAAUUUUGCGGUAUUAGUUAAUAAAAAACAAACCAAUUUUAUUCUUUAGCGUCAGACGACUUUCGAUCUUACCCGAAGUUUUCACGGCUCUACUUUUGUAGUGACCGAUUAAAUUGAGUUCAGAAAAAUUGUAUUAAAACCAAAAUAGCCCACAAUUGAAAUCCCAAAGAAAUAAUAGUUAGAGUACCGGCAAAUGACGUUCCUCACAUCCCAACAUCAAUAAAUUAGCUGAACAUGUUUAUGACAAACAUAAAAAUAUAGAUAUGAAACUUAGAAGUAAACAUUUUGGAAAGGUAAUUGAAUUGAAAAUAGCGGUUUAGAAAUUGGUUUUGAAAAUGAAAUAACGACAAGAUUAUGCAAUUAACAAAAGUAAAGCAGUACGGUGCGAGAAAUAAGAUUUGAAAAUAAAAGAAGUAGUACGAGGCGAGGAAAGUAAAGUGUGAGUAAAUAAACAAAGUGAUAUAAUAAAAAUGCAUAAUAUAUUAAAAACCUGCUCCAAACGGAGGCUUGAAUCUGGUAUAGAAUAAAUUUCUGAAUACUUUUAAAGAAAUAUAAAUGGCGGCAAGAUUAAGCUGCGAUAAAAUAAAGUACUCUAAACUUCAUACAAACUCAAUGCUCUUUGGUGUUAUAACCCCUCGAUGUGACGAGUUAUAACUUUAAUCAGUAAUUAUAGUGCUUAAAAUAAUGCUAAGCUUGGUUGGAAAAUGAAGCUUAUCACCUAUUUAUAGUGUUCCAAGAUCCAAAAUAUCAAGCGGGAAGUUUCUUCAUUUGUGGGAGAAAAUAUAGGAGUGAAUGGAGUGAGUGGGAGACCAAGCAAAUCCAUUUUCUAACCGUUUGGCCUUCACAAAGGAUGGAGAAUGCCAUGCCAAGAUGGCGAACGCCACCUUCCCAACGUGUAGAAGAGUGGGUCAAUCAACUGUUGGUGAGUGGGACAUGUCAUUCUUCUUAUGGCAUUCUCCAUGGUGAACGCCACGUAGAUCGCCUUGUGUGUAAUUUCCCAUAUUUUUCUUUGUUUUGCAUCUGAAUUGCUUCGUUUCUUUGCACAUGGCUCCUAUAUGGUCAAAUACCUGAAAUGCAGAUAAAAUAUACAUAUAACAUUGGAAAUAGAGGUAAAACAAUAAUAAAACAUGUACAAAAAGAGUCAAAAUAACAGUGUAAUUUGGUGUUAUCAAACUCCCCCAUACUUGAACCUUUGUUUGUCCUUAAGCAAACAUUUAUGAAGAAAAAUAGUGGUGCUUUUGUAACUAUUCUAGGCUAAAGACUCUAAUUCACUCAAAGUCAUAUUGAUAGAUACUAACUCGCAAACUAAGGGUAUCAUAGCAACACGUGUUUGUCGUCAUAAAUCUCCUUCCUACACAAACCAAUUUGCAUCAUGUCAUUAUGCCCAUGCCUAACUUACUCGUCCCAUUUUUCUUCCUUUUUCAUUUAGACACAAUCACAUUAAGCCAGUUAUCUGUUCACACAUGACAAACGAACCUGUUAGUGACCAUGAUCCACAUUAUGUCAAAUAUUCUGAUGGAUAUGCAACAUUCUUAGAGGUUUCACAACCGUUAGGCUAAAUGGACGGGUGAGGGUCACCUAACUUAGAAGGAGGAUUCCUUUUUCUAUUUCUUACUUUUCCAGAUUUUUGCUUUUCUUUUCUUUCUCUUUACCGUGGGAUCAUUCACCUAUUUGCAUCAGUCCGCUUACUCGAUGGUAAUUCAUUUGGUGCUGACUACUAGGAUAAACUACUUAAAAACUUAUUUAGGGGCGAGAUUUCAAGGUCAUGGCAUAACAAGUUUCUAAAUCAGUCUCUAUAAUUAGGAGACUUACGGUGUUAAGACGAUACUGGUCUUUUGGGGUUUUCCCAAGUCUCUUAACAUAUCCGUAACUUGUCUAAUAGCCUAAAAUUUCAAAUGAAACACUUGUUUUCUUAAAGUUUUUUUUGUAUGGCUCAUGAAAUGGAAGAAUUAAUAAACAUCAAAAACCAUGCAUAAAGACUCGACAACAUAUUCAAUGACUCGGUGAACAAGUUAAAAUUAGAAAAGAAAACCUAAGCAAUUAUACUAAAAAUCAAUAAAUCUAUCUAGAAAACAAAGAAAAGAUAGUAGGGGAAAUAAUCAAAACACGCAUUAAAGAUUCGAAAAAAUGAGCAAAAAUCCAAAGGUGCAUACUAGAAAUGAGUAAAAUAACUGCAAAAAAAUAAAUCUAGAGUAAAUCUAAUAAUGGUGAAAAUAAGUUCCUCCCCCACACAAGAACUAAGAAUUAUCCUCAAUGCCUAAAAAUCUGAAGAUGAAGUAGAGUUCUUGAUAAACGUGGUCCAUCUGUUCCUGCAUAGAAUCCAUGAAGUGGUGGAGAACGUUACUGAGAGUUGAGAUAUCUAUUUGGAUGGCAGUAAGUUCAGCGGUAAGUGGGUCAGGACUAUUGGGUUCAUCCAUAGGUGAUAAGGGGGUGUUUUCAGUAGAAGAUGAGUGGUACUCUUCUGGAUUUCCCAAAAGGUAUCGCCAAUUGUCACGGUUAUGUACGUUAGUCCUUUCCGUGUUUGGGAUAAUGAAUUGGUGUACUGGUUUGUAAAGGACUAGAAUCUUAUAGGUAUCAGGUCCUUCUUGCCUCACUAAUCUUCUAUUUAGGAAAUGUUUAAUGUUUAUCAGGUUAUAACCACAUAAAUGUUCUAGAUGCACGACUCGGUUGCGAAGACCUAAAGCUAUGGUGAUAUGGGUGACCAUACCACCGACAUAGAUGUUCUAGACAACCUGGAUGGCUACUUUGGCUAAACCCGCCAUCGAGAAGGCAACAAAGUGUACUGAGCGGGACUGAAAAAUACUGAACAUGAGAAAUACUUCUUCUUUACUGACUGGUCCAAUAUUUCCAGCUUUUCCAAAAAAGGUUUUGGCCACAACCUUCUGGAAUUACCUGAUGGUAGGGUUAUGGAUUAGAGGGGGGUUCAUUCUUUCAUAAUCAGGUGGACAAUCUUUAGUAAUGCUACCCUAGAAAAAAUCUAGUUCCCAUUGCAUAUCAUCACCUACUGGUACUUCAGUGUAGGCUCGGGGUCCAUAUUGAAAAGCUAAAAGUUUGGCUAACUCAUCAUGUGUGAGUUGGUAUUCCUUCCCAAAGAGUCGAAAGGGAGCAAAACCUUGGACUCAGUCUAUCCCUACACUAGGGUUGUAUUCGUAUGAGCUUAGGAAUUCAAAUGCCAGGUUCUUAUAGGUUGGGUGUUUGUGCACAGAUAAACGGUCCCAACUGAGCUGGUUAAAUAUUUACUUCACAUUGUCACAGAGACCUAAAGUUAUUAAGCUAGGGAAGUCAGGGUAUCGGGUUGGUGAAAUGGUUCUUUCAGCCAAGACUUCAUAGCGUCUUCUUUGAGCUUCGUCUCUGAAAAUAUCUUGCAUGUUAUUUGUACUCUCCAACUAAAUGGUUAGUAGGAAAAUUAGCCUGGGUUAGACCUGUAACAUAAUCAAUCAAAAGUUAGUCUUGUUGGUAUGAGUAAAAUAAAUCACCGUUAUACAAAGAAAAUAAAAGUUCAAAAAAUAAAAAAUUGACAAUGAAACCGUAGGUUGCCUCCCACACAUCGUUUUGUUUAAUGUCAGUAGCUCGACAUUAGUGUAAAUCAGGUUGUUUGUGUAGCAAAUGGUGGUUCAAUUAAGUCAUGGAGAGAAUAUUAGGUAGGUACAUCACCGUUGGUGUAAUUUUUUAGUCUUUGUCUAUUUAUCAUGAACGGGCCAGUUGAUUGGCUUUUAAUGUCAACUGCACCAGAUGGUAUGACCUUUGUAACUUCGAACGGUCUGGUCCAUCUGCAACGUAAUUUAUCAGGAAAUAGGCGUUAUCUAGAGUUCAAUAAAAGUACCAUGUCACUUACACGAAACUCUUUCCUUGCGAUACGCUUGUCAUUCCAUGCUUUGGUUCGUUCUUUGUAGAUUAUAGCAUUUUCAUAGGCAUCGCGUCGGAGUUCCUCUAAUUCCUGGAUAUCUAACAAUCGUUUACCAGUUUUUAAAUAGUCCAUGUUUAGGGUCUUAAUGGCCCAAUAGGCUUUGUGUUCUAGUUCGAAGGGUAAGUGACAUAAUUUCCCAUAUACUAAAUUGAAGGGUGUCGUCCCUAUAGGGGUUUUAUAGGCAGUCCUAUAAGCCCACAUUGCGUCAUGUAGUCUAGAGGACCAAUCUUUCCUGGAAAGUGAGACCGUUUUUUCUAGAAUUUGUUUUAUUUCUCUAUUUGAUAUUUCCACGUGUACAUUGGUUUGUGGAUGAUAGGGUGUGUAAGACCCCAAUUUUGACCCUAAGACCCUUCAUGCUAUUCUUAUCAUAUGCAUUGGCAUUAGGAUCACAUCUAGGUAACCUCCUUACCCCUCAUUCAUUGGCUUUGCAUUAGGAAAGAUCACCAAGAACAUUUGAUUGUAUCAUACUUCAUUUUUCUUUAUUUACUAACCAAAAUACCAAAAAUAUGUCAAUGUAUAGUUUGUUGCUUUUGUAGGUAGUGGGUAUGCUCACAUAUGCUCUAGAAAGCUCAUAUCUAGGGUUUAAGACCCUCAUUGCAAGGAGAUCAAUCAAGAAGUGGUUUACUAUGAUUCUAAGUAUCAUAUAUGAAUCCCCAUGAUCUUCACAUGUUAUUUUGAUCAAGAAAUCAUCAAGAGUUUGGAGUUAGUUUGCCUUGGAAACCCUAAUUCAUAUGGGUAUCUUAUGUAACUUCUUCAACAAGUUUCUUCAACAAUUGAUCAAAUAUUUCAAGGGAUACUUCACAUUUUAUCAUCUUAUGCAUAUGUUAUCCUCCAUGAGUCCAAAAAGUCAAAGAGAAGGGGUUCGUCCUAGUAAAAAUGUUUCACGUCAUGGAAAAACUUUUUCCUCUAUUGGUAGGUCAAUCCCUGAGGUAGUAUAUUAGCCGCGAGAAAAUUGACGAAGUCAGCGUACCAAGGUACACUGGUCACUACAGGGGAAGAUUCAAUGGUCAGCGAUAUCUCAUAUGAGGCUUCACCAUGACCUAUCCAAUUAUCGAUUGAUUCUAUUAGCCUAUUGUAGCACCUCAAAUUUGCACCUAUCAUUGUACAUACAUUCUCAUAUUAGGUCAUAACAUAACAUAGUCCACUGCAUAACAUUGCAUUGUCCCUUUUGCCUCAAGUGCAAGAUCAUCAGGAGAAUUAGGUCAAACUGAUCAGGAGAUCAGUCAAUCAAGCAAGCAAGUGUGUUUCUCAAGGAGCCAAGGCCCUAGGGUUGGUCCAACAUGUUCACAUGACUUGGGGAUCCAUUUGAAGUGUUUAGGUCAAAGAUUGGAGGCUCAGAGGUCAUCAGUCAAUGCACAAUCAGUCAGAAACCCUAGAAAGUCAAACUUGGUCAACUGUGGUUGAUUUUAUGGUUUUGAUGGAUGGAUUUGGUUUGAGAGAGCUUAUUCAUGUCCAAAUAGGCCUCAUAUAACAUGGCAAAUAACAUCAUUGAAGAAUUUGAAGCCAAACAGAAAAUUUCCAAAAAUAGAAACUGGACCUGUAAUUGAAACUUGCCAAAAAUGGAAACUUCUUGAUCCCAAACUUACAUCAUGAUACAAGCUUCAAAUGAAUUUUUGCCCAACAUGAAAGUUGAAGAUCUUGUUCUCCCAUUUCCAAAAAGUCCAAGAACACUCAAUUCCCAUGUAUGGUUGGCAAGUUAUGAUCAAAUCAUUUUCAAAAAUUCUUGAACUUCAAAAGGCCAUAUCUCUCAAACCAUUUGGCCAAAUUUGGUGAGGUUUUUUCCAACAAGUCAUAUUUAACCUCCUCUUUCCAAAAAUGUAACUUUCAUGUACCAAAACUCUAUGAAUCAAAAUGGCCUUUUUUGAACUUACAUGGUUAUUUUCAAGUGUGGUACAAAAUUGAAUUGUUGAAAUAAGCAUUUUCAAUCAGAAUGGCCAAUUGGAAUUGAUUUGAAAUGUCAUUUGUGACUUGCUACAAAGCCCAAAUUCGUGCUCCUACCACCACACCCCACCAUUUGGACCAAAGGGAUCAUUUUAGCAAAUUGCUUCAUUUGAACUAAGCAUGAUUAGCAUACAUGGAUUAAAAGUUAAAUAGCACAUAAAAACUCAUUUUCUGAUCAUUUGGUAGCCCUAGCAGCCACACAACACAGAAAAUAUCACUUGCUCUCAAGAUCCAUUUUUCUCCCAUCUUGAAAUUUCUGCCAAAAACCUCAAAGAACCCGACCUUGCCUUUGUUGUUUCAUCAUCCAAGCAUCAUUGUGAGCUCAUUGCAACAUUGUUUCCACAACUGUAAGCUCAUUUGCCCGACUGUUUUUGCAAAGCACCAUUAAUGGCCAAGUUUACUCAUUGCUGCUUAUCCACUGGGCCAUUCUCAGUGCAGAAGAGCAACGGGACAUAGGCUUGAGAUGCAAAACGCUUCUGAAGACCACCAGGCUGUUUUUGGAUGGCUUUCUUCUGUUUGCAGCAUUCUUCAGGUUCAGAAGGCCUCAUGGACAGUAGAUUCUUGCAACAAGUUGAAGGAGAUUCGUUGGAGCAGCGUUUCUUCUUCUUUCUACGCACCAAGAUGCGGUUCUGGGGAAGCGAAACCCUGCCUCGUUCCACUUUCCUGUGACGGACAUUAUAGAAGACUGAUAGUUUUUUAGAAAUUCCUCAACUUCGCGUAAUUCCAUAAGGGGCUUACGAAGAAACCCUCAUUUUAAGCGAGGAAGAAAUUUCGCUCAUUUUCCCAUGGCUACUACGGACAUUUGAUAUCUAGCAUCACACAUUACAUUACUUCCAUUCGCGUUGGGAACUUUCUCGCACGAAAUUUUUUUUACCAACAUCACAGCUUAUGUUAGAAGUACUUUCCCGAUGCUGGAUGCGUUUGUCAUUACUGGCAAGAGACUGCCGGGUUUGAUCAAGAACAAGCGACAGAUAAAGCAUUGCGUUGCUUUCUCCAAAAUGCCUUCUUUGGAAGUUCUCAGAAAACAUCUCAGAACACUUCCUGAGAAUUCCUUACCAAGUUCAGUGACUCUUUAUGUUCAGUUGUCUAGAAAGAGUGAGUAACGCUUUCGUAUCGUGUUUGUUCAUCUGAUUUGGGCGUUUCCACCUUACUCUUUGGUAUAUGGCAGUUAACUGGUGUCAACAUUCACCAGGUGAGUACAUUUUUACUAUAAGGUGUGUGGAAUUCCAUACUUCUUAAUCCAUAGAGUGAGUCCGCUAUACUAGUUACCGCGAUCACGUUUCGUUUAUGCAUCAUUAUGCCAAAGAAUGCCAAAUUCUUCUCUGCAUGUCAAGAAUCAUGUCUGGCACCUCUUCCGUGCUGAGAAAUCCUUUCUAACAAAAUUGUUUAUAGUUAUGUUCUUGGUGAAUUCCCUACAAGUUCGAACGAAGGGCCAAGAGAGGAUGUGGUAGGCUAUUCUACCUAUGGAAUUUAAAUGGAGAGGGCACAUCGAAAUUACACCUAGAUGACUUAUCAUAAUAGCUUCGCAACUAGACUUCUUAUAAGCGCCACUAAUACUCGUGAUCAUAUUAUCAUAGGAGGAGACAGCUACUCUCACCUUAUGACAUUGUGCUUCUCUCACAAUCAGGCGUUACUAUAGAUCACAUUCCGAAUGAAGUACAUUUAUUUACUAAGAAGAUGACAAGCUCAAUGUUCAACCCCUUAGACCUAAUGACUAGAGCUACACAUAACAAAAUGCCUAUGACCCAGAGAAAUGUAGUGAAUGGUGUCUUUCCUCUUUCCCUAGAUCAAAGUCUCAUAAUCUUGCAUUAAGUAAAAUCAUAUACCGUUAGAACGAGCCUAUCCCAAUAGAGGUAGGUCACAACCAAGAUUACAGAAAAGAAUUAACUACUAGCCAGUUGAUGAAGUUGGUGUGAGAUAGUAAAAACAGACAUACAAACAAACAUUGGAGGGCCUAACCCAUUCUCAGUUCAUUUAUCUAUGCCCCAAAUGGACAGUCUAGUGUGCAGACUUCUGUUCCUAUAUUGAAGAGGCCCAUCUUCUCCAGAACGGUGACUCUACAAACUAGCCGGUGGGUCCCAUUUCAAUGCUCCUAACUGUCGUCUAGUGGCGGUAUCACCCGAACAUCGAAGAGAUAUCUUUCUCCAAAGUCAGAUAAAAAAUCUGUGAGAAAGUGAAACAGGACUUUGCAUGGGUAAAUGAAAGUCCAUAUAGUGUUUCGCACCUCAGUUAGAUCCAGGAAAUUAUCGCAGAGGUCAUCUAUAUACUUUUAUUUCCAGUAUCUCAAAAAAAAAUAAUGAACAAAUAGGUGUUCUAUGACUUAGAGUUGAAGUCCAAAUGAUCAGAUACAAAGGUCGAAUUGGCUCAUGUGAGUUACCUUCAUCCAGUUGCGAAGAAACAAUCUGAUACUUAAAACUGAUCUAUAUGACUACUUCGUUCCAACAAAAUCUAAUGUUUGAUCUUAUUUUUGUGCCUUGUCAAGUAAAUCAUGGCGUUAACUAUGAAAAUUGUGUGUGACUAUCGUACAUGUAUAGGUUUGUAUCGCCGUUAAAUGAAUAUGAGUCGCUAAAUAUGAUAUCCGUCAAACCGCACAAAUAACAAGUAUUGUCAAUCAAAAGGCAACCAAAGAUCCAGUGACUCAAAAUACUAUGUCAGAAUCAAUUGCAUCCUACUUUUAGGACCCAUAUAUGGGACUUAAAAAACUUAUCAACUGACCAGUGCAAAAGAAAUAGUGAAGAAGAUUGAUGCAUCAACAGAUCACAAUUUAUUAUAGCAUUCGUGAGAGUAAGUGUUUAGCUCGUGAGACUCCCAAGAAUUGAGAAACAUUAUAGGAAUAAAAAUUUAGAAUUAAAGAAUUCCCAGGUAACGUAAUUCUUAUUCUCACAAAUAUACGGUUAAAAGGACUGAAGCAUUCGUAUUCCAUAGAUAUAGGAAGAUCGAGUUCAUAGCUAGUAUUCUUAUUGUGUGAGCUAAGCGAGAAACAAUGUAAUACAAAUCUGAUACACAAAUUAAUACUGAAUCAUGUUUAUCCCAUAACGACCUAAUAGCAAGUGGUAUAGAAGAUGUAUCUAAAUGGUCUCCACACAUUCUCAGAACAAGGCCCCCACAUAAGGUCAGUCAUAGCAAUACACGACAUUUUGUGUGAUAUUUCGAAAUCAAGAGAGUCUUCAGUGGCAGAUGGAUCUGAAGCAUUGUUAGGACUACCACGCCGACUGACAUAUGAUUGCUUCUAUAUAGUAUUUGACUCAAUUUGGUUAGAAUUAUUCUCAUAUCUCAUAAGUCUCACCUAAGAUAACAAUGGAAAUUAUAUCCACAAUUACAUUAUACAAAUCAUAAUAACAAUAAUUCACAUACGAGGUAAAACUCAUUGGAAUAUCAGCAGUACGACUUCCUUGUGUAGCGAAAUUCGGUAAUCAUACUCAUUAAAACUAAGAAGCUGUUGCAGAGGUCCCUCCAAGAGAUUUUAUGUUCGGGAAGGGUUUUUAUGUGUCUACAAGACGCAACAAAACACGCGUAUAGUGAUUAUGUUUUCUUAACUUAAAACAAUAUGGUCAGAAACAAUGGGUUAGUAUCAAUGUUUGAUUAGGGGCAGAAGACCAUACACACAAGAGUUCUAAAAUAUUGCAUUGGUCGAGCACCUUUUGUUUGCAAAAUGGAUUUUACGCAAGCUCUCACGAAGGCAAUAUAAAUGGUUUAUGCGACAAAAGGCUGAGAAAUGAAUAUAAUAGUAUAUUAUUUGUGUGUGUGUUCAUAACGCAGUAGCAUCAGUAUUCAACUCGUAUUCGUAGCUAUGAUAUCUUAAGUGGUAUUCGACAAUGUUUUUAUACAACACAAUAAGAGAUAUUUGAUGCCAUCAAGGUUUUCUAGGAUUGCUAUCUAGUAUCUUUUUGAUUUUUAGAGAAUAUUUAGUCGUUGGAUUAAUGUACUUGACUCGUUUGAUAUUAAAAACGAUUGAAAAGAUGGCAUAAUAGCAUUUAUCUUAUUUUCCAACUGCUUAGUGGUCAAGUUGAAUAGAAAAAAAAUUAGUUAAAACAAAGAAGAUCUCUGAAUGAGAGAGGAGAUUAUAAAAUUCAUUAUCUUUGAAGAGAGAAUCAGAAUAACUUUACGAGUAUAAUAACUGUAUAAAGUUUAAAACUUACAGUUGUUAACAUGAUCGUAUCACCAGAGAUCCGCUUGGACUAGUUUAGAUUCUACUAUAGCAUGAGCGAGGGAACAUUGUAUAUCAUCUUGAGAGCAAGCAUAAUAAAGAUAGGCCUCACCACCUUAUCCCUUCAUGAUCUGCUUUCAAACAUAGCCUCAUGUAGCCAAAGAAUUUCCAAGUACAGCUCACAUUAGAUCUUUAAAAAUGAUCCCUUUUUUUGUUUGUCAAGAUGACGUGCGGGAGAUGUUUGAAUAAAUUCUGUUAUCAGAAUGAUUGCAAUUGAGUUUCUGGGCCUUCAAAUCUGAUUGGCUCCAAGCAAUACAGAUGUGAGCCCUAUUUUAGAGAGGGCAGAUGCAAACCAAUAUGUCACUCAAAAGUUUUUUGGUAUGUUGGAUGAUCAUUAUGUUGGAUCUAAUGGUGUCAAACAUAAAGCAACAAUUAAAUAAAUACAAAACUCUCGAAAAGAUGAAAAUACUUACUAACAAAGUAGAAUCGGGCUCAAUAGCCUGUUCAGAUAUAAUCGUGUAGAACAUUAUUUUUAAGAUAUAGGUUGAAAGUAAUAAUUAAAUGUGUAUGUAAGUUUUGAUUUGGUUUUGCUCUUUGCUUAUGAUUUAAAUCGUAUUAAAACUAUGGAUGUAUCAAAAAUUAAAACCAGCAUAUAUAGUGCGCACAUAUGACCCUAGAUUCAAUCCAUAUAGUUAAUCUUCAAUCAUUGCAUUAGACUUGAGAUGUAUGCCAAAGAAUGAAAUGAAUGAGAAGGGAAUUGAUAAGAAGCAAGGGGAAUGAAGAUCACAAAUGGAUAAAGCAAGUCACUUUCAAAAUUAAUUUAUUCAAUCAUUUUGGAGAGGGAUUGUAUUCCUCAAUCCAGACAAGUAAUAUUAAUUUUGACCCAAAGCUCAAUUAACUAAGACCAGGGCACAAAGGAGAACUCAAUUAAUUCAUACAAUGGAAAUAACCCAAUUAAAAAUGUAUUAUUCCAAUUAAAAUAGUAAUAAUGACAUAAUUUGAGUCGCUUUUGUCAAAAUCUGUAGCAUAUCUUAUCCCAAAAGGUAUACCAAGUAACAGCGGGCCAUGAUGAUUCAAGUACUAUUAAUCCAAGUCAAAGACCCUCUGAAAUUUUCAUUAUUUAUUGGACACCAUAAAAUAUUUUUUAACCCGAUAAAAAAUGAAAAGAAAUAAUUAUGAAAAUUAAUAAUGCCCAAAAGACCAAUUUUUUACACAUUAACAGAAUUAUGAAAGAGAAAAGUGUUUUUAAAGUGUGUCUAUAUUCUCACGCAUAUUUUUGGAGUCAAAAUCAAUCUCAAUAUUAAUAGAAUCUGAGCAACAUUAAAUGAAAAUUAAGGAAAUCCAAAUAUGUCGGCAAACAUUACUAUUCUCUAAUUAAUUGACAUUGUAGGCAGAAUAUUGGUUUAUCCAUAACAUCUGAGUAUCAACAAGAUUAUAGUCAUAGAUUUAAACGUUAGAAUUAGAUCUCGAUGGUGCCAUAUGACAGCCAUAGAAAUCCGCCGAGCAAAGGCUCAAGGAGAUCCCGCUAUUUUUAUAGGUAUCAUAUUGCUUACUAUGCUCAUAUUGGUCAUCAUACCGUCAGCGCCACGGAUUGGUCAGAUGACCAUCAACCUAAUUAAAAAUGACAGUAGAUGAUUUUAAAAGAACAUCAAACUGAGCACGUAAAUUAAUCACCUCCAAGUCCUCCAAUUCCCAAUAUAUUAGAAUAGUGAUGGUAAUUGGAAGAUUAUGUUCAGUGAUGUUGGUUUGCUUCGAUUUGAGAUGACAGCUAAAGACAUAAGAACUUUGCAUAUCGUUGCUAAAAUGAUCGUAUGUACAACUAGUGAAAAGAGAAACUCAUAAACAUCUAUUUUACAAUUAAUUUUUAUGAUGAAUCGGAGCUUUAAAUUUCUGCAAUCCUUCAAUGGACGGUUGAGCUUCUAGAUCUUGUAGUCCUAGAAUCUGUGUGUAUUGGCAUUCACACUUGCUCGAGAAAUGGAAUAAGCGAUUUUAGAACAACGAUCCUGAGAGAAUUGUAAAUUCCACCCUAAAAAUAGACCCCGGGUAGGUCAUUCAUCUGACAUCAGAUUCGGCAAUUUAUCUGGAUACCUCUGGUAUGCUAUGAAGCCUUUUUUACGGAGAUUUCUCCAAAGCCUGGAUACGCAAGGUGUGUAUCUGAGAUUUAAAGAACGUUCCCUUAUGUGCAGCGAAUUUAUAGCAAAUAUAUGCACAAUCUUUCCACUUUCCAAUUGGGGUCUAAAUAUUGACAUAUAGACCACGUGCCAACAAAUUUUCAUGGACGAAAUAAUGCCAUGGAAUGAUGGUUAUGUGAAGCUUCAAACCUGAUGACAGAUCGCUCCUGUGAAGAUGUGAGUCUAUACUGUAUGAUGUCAUCUCUCAAUUGGAAAGAUUUCACCCUGCACAAUGAUAAUCAGUCAUGGUUUAACCUCAUGCAGACCAUAUGAUUUCACUACAUCUCCUAAUGAUGAGUUAGCUUUUCGAAUUGAGUUAAGAGUGACAGUAUUGAUCUUUGAGAACACUCGUUUUUAUUUGAAAUGGACUUAAGAUUAUUAAUAGUUGAGUGUUGCGAUAAAAUAUCUCACAUAUAAUAAAUAUGUUAUUUAUUCAUAUGUUAUCUAUAUUCCACACUUUUAAAUCUUUUUAGAUAUGGAGCUUCAGUGAGAAGGAUUUCUUUAUUCAAAUUUUGCUGUUCUCAGAGUAUCUUAUAAUGUAACUAUUUCAUGUGAAUAAUUGGAAUCAUUGAUAUGAUAAGUUAUGCAUUUUUGAAGUGGAAAAAUUACUCUCAUCAAUAGACUAUAGUCAAAAGUUUGCCUUAAAGCCUCCAUAUCAAUGUCUCAGAGUUGAAUUACUCCAACAUUGAACAUCAAUCAGUAUGAAAUUUGCGACAAACAUUAAAAUGCGUCCCAUGCAACUAUGGAAUAUUUCAUCAUCAUAGAAAAUUGAGCAAGUUAUGCUGGAAGGUUGACUUUCGUCAAACAAUUAGUUUAAAGCACAAAUACUAUAAUGUGUCAACAUAGAAAAUAUUUAUCUCCAGAAGCAGCUUACGGUCUCAUGAUUUCAUUUAAAAACGUGAUCUAUCGAAGAUUUUUCUCUUGGAUAAUUUCAUAUGUGAUGAAAAUGAGGAAAAGUAAGAUCUAUGCAUAGACCAAUUUGAAAUAUACGUAUAGAAUUCAUAUGUCCACACAACAACAAUUCAAGACAACUUGCAUUAUUCUUCUCUUAUACCUUAUUGAGCUAAUGUAGAUUCAUAUAUGCAUAAGAUUGAUUGAAAUAUUGAUGUGUCCUUAAGAAUUGUGUCAAUUGUUGGAGUAGCUUGUGGUUACUCAACCCUAGUCAACUAGGAUUCAAGGCAUAAUCACCCUUCAUCUCCUACAUAGAGAUAAACUUGAUCAAAUUAUACGGCCAGUGCGAAGAAUUAUGAGACUAUCUUAUGAUUACUUUAAAAUUCUAUGUUAUCAAUCCAUCUGUAUCUCGUGUCAAUGCAAAGUCUUCGUGUAGAUAUGUAUACUGAAUCAUAAAUAUGUAACAUACAGAAGACUUGAAAGAGACGAAGCUAUUUAGUAUUCUGGUUAUUAAAUGAUAAUAUAAAGUGAUGAAUAGAAAAUUCAAGAGCGCUCUGAUGAUAUCAAAAGUAAUGGUAUGAAUGAAGGAAUGCGAGAGGAAGCCCAGCUCGAAACCUGCAAAGCUUACGAUUAAGGUUGAGUUAUAUUUUUUUGUCUCUAUUGUUAUUUCUUGAGCAAAAUGAUUAUUAUGACAAUUGCAUGAGAGGGAUCUUGGGUGCUAACUGGGACAGUCCCUUAUUACCGCGUUAACUUCGCCUACUUCGAUAAAUAUGACCGUCACAAUCUCCAGAUUGUAACAUCUAUACAACAGUUUCAUGAUCCAAUUUCUGAAUAACUUUCUAAGAGUCUAAAAGAAGUCUUCAAAAAAAUUGAAAUCUUCAUGUAAGACAAGUAAGACCUAGCUUUCUCACCCCCAAUCCUUAUUCCACACAAUGAGAAAGACGAGUGUAGGGAGAUCACUUCUGAGUUUCUCAGUCUAUUACCAUCCGUUCAUAGCUCCGCUAAAGUGCAACUCUAUUGUACUUAGACUCUGCCUUGAAUACUCUAUUGCUCUCAGAUCCAAUGAACCCAACUAUGCACCUAACAUUGAUACAACAUUAUAUAUAACGGUGUCACUCACCAUUUCUAAGCGUUCUUAAAUAUCGACUCAUCUCAAGCCCAUUACCUGUCACUAACGAAAGUUUAUUGAAAAGGUGGGAGAGACCUGUUUAAAUUUCUAAUAAGGGGGGGGCGGUUUUCUUGUAACAUAAUGAAGCAGCUCAGGCUUUCUCACGCUACAUUUGGCAAUGUAAAAUAAUUUAAAGGCUUAAGAGUUGAAAAGAUGUUAAUGGUCCUGAAAACAUUAACAACCUGAAAUGCAUUUUAAUGAACGAAUCUCCAACAGACCUUGCAAAAGUGAGAAUAUUAAGUAUCACCAUUGAACAACUUUUCCAAUUUACGUCUCCUUCACUCUUGUGACUUCUUGAUCAACACUCAACGCAAUAAAAUCAAUCAGGAAGAGCUGAUUUGGCUUCAGCCAAACAUAUUUCCAGUAAAGACUUCAAUCGGAGAAUCAGGAGGCAAUCCAAAUAACAGAUGGCAUGACUACAUUCCAAGCAUAGAAAUGUUCAGUUUCUGGGUAACAAAAAUUUCAUUGUCACCACUUACUACCACUCAGUCCUAUCUAAGAAUCACUAAUACUAACCUUUCCGUANAUAUUCAAAUGCUCUCCCUGGCCAGGGAUAAGAGCAAUGAGGCACACCCCUCAUCUCCUUUCAUCUGCUUCACCUUGGCUCUCAAUGUCAAGGUUAAGAGCACCAUUUACCCAGUUCCAGAGGUUUGUUUGUUGAGGUUGAUAUGACCCCUCAACUAAAACCUAGCCUUGUUUGAGCCCCUUGCUUGUGUAUAGUGUGUACUACCUGUGCUUGUAUGUUUGUUUGACUUGCUUCCUGUGCAAGUUAGGUUUAGUUUAGACUAAUCCUUGUUUGCUUUCGCCCUCGUUGCGAUCUUUUCUCUCGCCCUCGUUGCGAUCGAGACUUUUCCUUUCUCUCGCCCUCGUUGCGAUCGAGACUUUCCCUUUCUCUUGCCCUAGUUGCAAUCGAGUCCUUUUCCCUCCGUAGCCGAACUACGGCAACUCUGAUUCUCAUGUCCAGAUGAGAUACGUAGGCACGAGAUGCGAUGUCUUGUUGAGUUUGACUAACAACUAACACUAAUUCUUUUCUCUCGCCCUCGUUGCGAUUGAGACCUCCCCUUUCUCUUGCCCUAGUUGCAAUCGAGACCCUUNNNNNNNNNNNNNNNNNNNNNNNNNNNNNNNNNNNNNNNNNNNNNNNNNNNNNNNNNNNNNNNNNNNNNNNNNNNNNNNNNNNNNNNNNNNNNNNNNNNNNNNNNNNNNNNNNNNNNNNNNNNNNNNNNNNNNNNNNNNNNNNNNNNNNNNNNNNNNNNNNNNNNNNNNNNNNNNNNNNNNNNNNNNNNNNNNNNNNNNNNNNNNNNNNNNNNNNNNNNNNNNNNNNNNNNNNNNNNNNNNNNNNNNNNNNNNNNNNNNNNNNNNNNNNNNNNNNNNNNNNNNNNNNNNNNNNNNNNNNNNNNNNNNNNNNNNNNNNNNNNNNNNNNNNNNNNNNNNNNNNNNNNNNNNNNNNNNNNNNNNNNNNNNNNNNNNNNNNNNNNNNNNNNNNNNNNNNNNNNNNNNNNNNNNNNNNNNNNNNNNNNNNNNNNNNNNNNNNNNNNNNNNNNNNNNNNNNNNNNNNNNNNNNNNNNNNNNNNNNNNNNNNNNNNNNNNNNNNNNNNNNNNNNNNNNNNNNNNNNNNNNNNNNNNNNNNNNNNNNNNNNNNNNNNNNNNNNNNNNNNNNNNNNNNNNNNNNNNNNNNNNNNNNNNNNNNNNNNNNNNNNNNNNNNNNNNNNNNNNNNNNNNNNNNNNNNNNNNNNNNNNNNNNNNNNNNNNNNNNNNNNNNNNNNNNNNNNNNNNNNNNNNNNNNNNNNNNNNNNNNNNNNNNNNNNNNNNNNNNNNNNNNNNNNNNNNNNNNNNNNNNNNNNNNNNNNNNNNNNNNNNNNNNNNNNNNNNNNNNNNNNNNNNNNNNNNNNNNNNNNNNNNNNNNNNNNNNNNNNNNNNNNNNNNNNNNNNNNNNNNNNNNNNNNNNNNNNNNNNNNNNNNNNNNNNNNNNNNNNNNNNNNNNNNNNNNNNNNNNNNNNNNNNNNNNNNNNNNNNNNNNNNNNNNNNNNNNNNNNNNNNNNNNNNNNNNNNNNNNNNNNNNNNNNNNNNNNNNNNNNNNNNNNNNNNNNNNNNNNNNNNNNNNNNNNNNNNNNNNNNNNNNNNNNNNNNNNNNNNNNNNNNNNNNNNCCAGGUUUACUCUGAGCGUUUCCUUUCCCUCUUUUGGGAUAAAUAACGCACGGUGGCGACUCUGUUGUUUCUUCUUUUCCCGCCGGUUUUUCGCGUAAUGCGACAGCUGGCGACUCUGCUGGGGAGUAUAGAGAAGUUGACCUGUGCUGGUCCAUCUUCCCUGAGCGAGUCUCUCCUAGCGCUCUCUAGGAUUAGGGUUUUGGUUGCUUUGUGCUGUGUGUAUUUAUUGCAUUCAUUAUUUGUUCAUUUCAUUUAUUGUUUGCAUUAAUUGUGUGCAUUAAUGUUUGCAUUCAUAUUCAUUAUUCAUUCUGCCUGGCUGGUUGUCUGUUUUUCUUUGUGGGGUGGGAGUCAGUUGAGGUAAAAGGUCCAAUACCCAGACCAUGAGUGAAAUCUAGGAUGAUUAGGAAUAUAGUGAUUCAUGGGAAGCGGGUGGUAUUGCGCCACUUAGCGGAACAUUGAUAUCUCGAGCAGUUCAGACCCUGGUGGGUUAUCGUCGUUACAUACUUCGGGUGUGUAUAUGAUGGUAUUCUGCGAAAGGUUAUUUAUGCUGCGUUUCUCUCGACCUUACCCUGGCCUAGACUACACCCGUGAGUGGGGAAGGGUUCAUUAUUACAGGUACCUGUUGGUGACUUAUGGUUCUGUUGGUGACUCUCAGUUCAGAUAACAGUGUGUUCAGUUGACCUUGGAUCUUUUAAGUUGGAUUUGGGUUCUGAUUUUGACUGAAGCUUCGACCUAAUGAUCAGUUUGCACAACCAGCCAGUCCAGUCUGCAUCAUUUGCAUCAUAGCAUAUUUAUUUUUCAAAAGAAACGCAAAAAAAAAUGAAUGAAAAAAAAAAGAAAAAAGAAGAGAAAAAAAAAAGAGAAACUAAUCUCUGCAUGCAUAUCAUUUCUCAGGUACAUUCCAGAGCUUGGUCUACUGAUAUAGAUGGCAACAGUCUCAGAGCUGAAGCGGAAGACCUGUUCCUACAGCUUUCAUCGUGAGUCGUUGACUGCAUUGAUCGAGUUGGGUAGUCUUGUAAUUGAUGAUCGUCUGAAGAGUUUUGUUGGGCAGUUUGGAGAUAUUCUGACAGUGCUGAAGACAGUAGUUGAUCCGGUACCUCUGCAGACACUUCUUCAGUUUUAUGAUCCAGAGCUUAGAUGCUUUACAUUUCAAGACUACCAGUUGGCGCCUACUCUCGAAGAGUAUUCUAUUUUGACGAGCAUCCCGAUUCAGCAUCAGAUUCCCUUCUUGGACGUCCCAAAGAAGGUCGACUUCGGAGUUGUUGCCAGAGCUCUCCGGUUGAGUGUCAAGGAGGUUUGUGAGAGUUGGAAGCCCUGUGGGGAAGUUAUGGGUCUGCCGUUGAAGUUUCUCCUGAGAGUAGCCAGAGAUGAAGCAGAGAAGGGAAAUUGGGAAGUUUUUCACGCCCAGCUUGCUGCCAUGAUCUAUGGGAUCGUCCUAUUCCCAAGUAUGCCUAAUUUCAUUGACUAUGCUGCUAUCAGUAUUUUCAUCAGAGGGAAUCCAGUCCCCACCUUGUUAGCUGAUACUUACUAUGCCAUCCACAGUAGGCAUGGUAAGGGUGGGGCUAUCAGGUGCUGUAUACCCCUCCUAUUCAGAUGGUUUAUGUCGCUCCUGCCCGUCAGUGGACCCUUUGUAGAUACCCAGAGCACUCUUAAGUGGACUCAGAGGGUCAUGUCGCUCACCUCCUACGACAUCAGAUGGCAGUCAUACCGGAUGGACGUGAAGGAUGUUAUCAUGAGUUGUGGUGAAUUCCGGAACGUGCCACUCGUGGGGACCAAGGGUUGUAUAAAUUAUAAUCCAGUUCUUUCUCUUCUCCAAUUAGGGUUUGUUAUGAGUAGAAGACCACUUGAAGCUGAGAUAGCUGAGAGUGUGUGUUUUGAGAAGAAAGAUGACCCGGCUAGAUUGGAGCAGAUAGGGAGAGCCUGGAGAUCUGUUGGAGUGAAGGAUGGAUCCGUCUUAGGGAAGAAGUUUGCCAUUGCAAUGCCUGAUUAUACUGAUUGGGUAAAGAAGAGAGUGGAAACUUUGCUGCUACCCUAUGAUAGGAUGGAGCCGUUGCAAGAGCAACCACCUUUGGUUCUUGCUGAUAUUGUGCCUGCUGAGCACUAUAAGCAAGCCCUGAUGGAAAGUCGCCGUUUGAGGGAGAAAGAGCAAGACACUCAGAUGGAACUGUACAAAGCUAAAGCCGAUAAGUUGCACUUGGCCCAUCAACUCAGGGAAGUGCAAGGAGAAGAUGCUAGCAGAGCCAGGAGCAAGAAGAGAUCAUAUGAGGAGAUGGAAUCCAUGUUGGAAACAGAGCAUAGGGAGUGUUUGAGGCUACAGAGAGCAGAAGUCAACUAUCAGAAGAAGAUCAGAGACUUGGAGAAGCAACUCAAAGACAAAGACGCUCAGUUGAAGAAGGAGGUAGACUUAAGACAGAAAUCAGAGGACUAUCUUGGAGGAGAAGUCUUGGAGCUCAGAAGACAGUUAAAGGAGAAGAUCACUCCUCUACCAGAAUGUUCAGAAUGCACACUGUUGAUAGACCAGUGCCAUUACCUGAAGACCCUCAUUCCGGAAGACCGUCCGUCUUAGAUUGUAUCUUUGAUGCAUUUUGCUGAGAAUCACCUCCAGGCUUGUUGGAUGGGAUUCAUUUGUUUGUACUCUGUUUCGGAUUUCUGUUGACUCUUGGUUGUAUGACCUUUUUGCCCUUAUGUAUAGAUAAGGUUGUCAGUAUUUCCCUGUUAUUCUCAUUUUUUUCCCUGUAUCUGUUGUUCUCUUGUUGCUGCAGGUUGCCAUCUUUUCAGGAUGGGUCAGGCUCUUUGAAUGCCUGAGAAAUGAGCAUAUCAUGUGCAUCAUACGCAUCAUUAAACAUCAUACUCAUCUCAUUUGCAUAACAGGUGUUCUUGUGCCGUCUUCUCACUUUGAUUCCUGUGUCCAGGCAGGAUAGCUGAUCAGAGACCGCACCGCUAUUCAACGCGACUCAACCAUCAACGCAAUAUGGAUCAAGUACAAGCCGAGUUAGCAGAGAUGAGGGCUAACAUGGCCCAGUUCAUUCAUAUGAUGCAAGGGGUUGCGCAAGGACAAGAAGAACUCCGAGCACUGGUUCAGAGGCAAGAAGCUGCAAUUCCACCGCCCAACCAGGCUCUGCCAGAAGGAAACCCAGUUCCUGACACUCCUGCUGUUGCUAUUCCCGUCAACAACUAUGCUGAAGGUGAAGAGUUGAGGGGUAUUUGAGUUAACGGUCAACCGAUUGCUCCAGAUGUUGCUAAUGCCAGAGUCAUUCAUGCUCCGGCCCGUAACAGAAUUCCGAUUGUUGACAGACAAGAGGAUAUGUUUACCUUACUCAGUGAAGACGAAGAUAUUUUGGGCAGAAAUGAUGCAAGAGAUCGUAAAGUUGAGGCCCUUGCUGAGAAGAUCCGGGCAAUGGAAUGUCAAAACUCCCUCGGUUUUGAUGUUACCAACAUGGGAUUAGUUGAAGGUCUGAGAAUCCCGCACAAAUUCAAGGCACCGUCGUUCGACAAAUACAACGGUACCUCCUGCCCUCGCACCCAUGUGCAGGCAUACUACAGAAAGAUAUCCGCAUACACUGAUGAUGAGAAGAUGUGGAUGUACUUUUUCCAAGACAGCCUAUCUGGGGCGUAAGGCAUACUACAGAAAGAUAUCCGCAUACACUGAUGAUGAGAAGAUGUGGAUGUACUUUUUCCAAGACAGCCUAUCUGGGGCGUCUUUGGAUUGGUAUAUGGAGUUGAAGCGGGAUUCAAUCAGAUGUUGGAGGGACUUGGGUGAAGCUUUCCUCAGGCAGUACAAGCAUAAUAUGGACAUGGCUCCGACCCGGACUCAGCUGCAGAGUAUGUGUCAGAAAAAUAAUGAGAGCUUUAAAGAGUACGCCCAGAGGUGGCGCGAGCUGGCUGCAAGAGUUCAACCCCCUAUGUUGGAAAGGGAGUUGACAGACAUGUUUAUCAGCACUCUGCAAGGUGUGUAUAUGGACCGGAUGGGAAGCUGCCCAUUCAGAAGUUUUUCUGAUGUCGUCAUCUGUGGCGAGAGAACUGAAAGUUUAAUCAAAGCUGGUAGGAUUCAUGAUACGGGUUCUUCUUCGUCAUCGAAGAAACUCUUCUCUGGGGCACCUCGCCGUAGAGAAGGAGAGACCAAUGCUGUACAACACAGAGGGGGUGUGUACAGAGCAAAUACAAACAGAGAUCAAUAU